This 86-nucleotide small nucleolar RNA is filed under the name Streptococcus sp. SK140. Lineage: Bacteria; Bacillati; Bacillota; Bacilli; Lactobacillales; Streptococcaceae. The record is from RNAcentral.
UCCUUUGAUGGAAAAUCCUUCGAACAGUUACUUAUCAAAUCAGGUUUUCAAUUCAGUGAAAUUCAGAAAAAUCUACUCUUCUUACA